Molecule: long non-coding RNA, 856 nt
Filed under: Marmota monax (woodchuck)
Lineage: Eukaryota; Metazoa; Chordata; Mammalia; Rodentia; Sciuridae
Source: RNAcentral
AUUUUAUUCAUUUAUUUAUAUGUGGUGCUGAGAAUUGAACCAGUGCCUCAUAUAAAGCCCUCUACCACUGAACCACAACCUCAGUUCCUGAUGUUUAUGUUUAUAGUGCAAUUAUCAAGAACAAGAAACCAACUUUGAUAUAAUGUUAACUAGACUACAGAUAUGAUUCAAGUUUCACCAGUUUUUCUGCCAGGCUUUGUUUUCAUUCGAGAUUCUGACCAAGAUCCUGUGUUGCAUUUAGUUAUUUCUCCUAAGUAUCCUAUAGUCCAUAACAUUUCCUCUGUCCUUUCUUGGCCUUGAUACAUUUGUUUGUUUUUUGCUGGGACUGAACCCAGGACCUCAUGCCAUGCUAGGCAAGCACUCUACCACUGAGCCACAUCCUUGGUCCCUUGGCCUUGAUAUUUUUAAAGAAUACUGAUCAGAUAUUUACUUUGAGGAGUGCUGGGAUUGAACUGAUUCAGUUAUUUUGUCUAAUGUCGCUCAAUUUAGGUUUGUUCUGUGUUUUUCAGAAUUGGAGUCAGGAUAUGCAUUUUUGGCUAAAAUAUCAGAAACAUUGUUUUUGUGUCUUAUGUGAAUCUCAAUAAAGGAGUCCAAGAUAUUGAUAUAUCUUAUUAUAUGUGAUAUUUACCUUGAUCACUUGGUUUAGUUGGUGUCUGCCAUGUUUCUAUGCUAAAGUUAUUCCUUUUCUAAUUAAUAAUUAUCUUGAGGAAGAUAAUUUGAGAAGAUACAAAUUUUGAUUUUCCUCAAAUUCGAGCCCACUGACUUUAGCAUUCAUUUGUGAAUCUUUUGGUGUUUGUCUAAAUGUGAUUAAUUAGCCAUUCUUUUUUUCCUGCUACAUUUAUGAAUUGAAAAUCUA